ACGGGAGGCAGCAGUGAGGAAUAUUGGUCAAUGGGCGAGAGCCUGAACCAGCCAAGUCGCGUGAAGGAAGAAGGUUCUAUGGAUUGUAAACUUCUUUUGUCUGAGGGUAAAGUGAGAGAUGCGUCUCUUAUUGCAAGUAUCAGACGAAUAAGCAUCGGCUAACUCCGUGCCAGCAGCCGCGGUAAUACGGAGGAUGCGAGCGUUAUCCGGAUUUAUUGGGUUUAAAGGGUGCGUAGGCGGGAUGUUAAGUCAGCGGUGAAAGCGUGUAGCUCAACUAUACCAAGCUGUUGAAACUGGCGUUCUUGAGAGUAAACGAGGUAGGCGGAAUGUGAUGUGUAGCGGUGAAAUGCUUAGAUAUGUCACAGAACUCCGAUUGCGAAGGCAGCUACCAGGAUACGUCUGACGCUGAGGCACGAAAGCGUGGGUAUCAAACAGGAUUAGAUACCCUGGUA
This 452-nucleotide ribosomal RNA is filed under the name uncultured Porphyromonadaceae bacterium. RNAcentral's name for it is "bacterial SSU rRNA". It matches the Rfam family "Bacterial small subunit ribosomal RNA", at positions 341 to 792 of the family's 1533-position model. Lineage: Bacteria; Pseudomonadati; Bacteroidota; Bacteroidia; Bacteroidales; Porphyromonadaceae. The record is from RNAcentral.